This 253-nucleotide ribosomal RNA is filed under the name uncultured bacterium. RNAcentral describes it as "partial 16S ribosomal RNA". It matches the Rfam family "Bacterial small subunit ribosomal RNA", at positions 524 to 776 of the family's 1533-position model. The record is from RNAcentral.
UACGGGGGGGGCAAGCGUUGUUCGGAAUUACUGGGCGUAAAGGGCUCGUAGGCGGCCAACUAAGUCAGACGUGAAAUCCCUCAGCUUAACUGGGGAACUGCGUCUGAUACUGGAUGGCUUGAGAUUGGGAGAGGGAUGCGGAAUUCCAGGUGUAGAGGUGAAAUUCGUAGAUAUUAGGAAGAACACCAGUGGCGAAGGCGGCUCACUGGCCCGGAACUGACGCUCAUGAGCGAAAGCGUGGGGAGCAAACAGG